Molecule: ribosomal RNA, 443 nt
Filed under: uncultured bacterium
Lineage: Bacteria
Description: partial 16S ribosomal RNA
Rfam family: Bacterial small subunit ribosomal RNA
Source: RNAcentral
CCUACGGGUGGCAGCAGUGGGGAAUAUUGGGCAAUGGGCGCAAGCCUGACCCAGCAACGCCGCGUGAAGGAAGAAGGUGUUCGGGUUGUAAACUUCUUUUCGCAGGGACGCAGCAAGUGACGGUACCUGAGGAAUAAGCCACGGCGAACUACGUGCCAGAAGCCGCGGUAAUACGUAGGUGGCAAUCGUUAUCCGGAUUUACUGGGUGUAAAGGGCGUGUAGGCGGGACUGCAAGUCAGAUGUGAAAACCACGGGCUCAACCUGUGGCCUGCAUUUGAAACUGUAGGUCUUGAGUACUGGAGAGGCAGACGGAAUGCCUAGUGUAGCGGUGAAAUGCGUAGAUAUUAGGAGGAACACCAGUGGCGAAGGCGGUCUGCUGGACAGCAACUGACGCUGAGGCGCGAAAGCGUGGGGAGCAAACAGGAUUAGAUACCCGAGUAGUC